This is a long non-coding RNA of Oncorhynchus tshawytscha (Chinook salmon), 307 nucleotides long. NCBI's taxonomy places the organism in Eukaryota, Metazoa, Chordata, Actinopteri, Salmoniformes, Salmonidae. The record is from Ensembl.
CAUGAAGGAGUGAGACGGAGGAGCAUUAUGAUACGAUGUUGAUCAGACUAACUGGGCUGCAAUCUAUCUCUCUACUGGCCUGGCUGAUCACACUAACAAACAGUGUGGAGAUCAUAGAUCCAGGCCAGGUGAUGUAUGUUGACUCAGGUCUGGAUGGAGUGGUGGGUAAAGCCGUGAUCCUGGAGUGUGGAUCAACCAGACCCGAUGUUUACAUCUGGGGGUUCACACAACCUGGAACCGACGCCAUCAAAGCUGUGGUCUACGACUUUGGAAAAGGCCCUAAGCUGCAGAAGCUGGCCCAGAGUCU